AGAGUUUGAUCCUGGCUCAGGAUAAACGCUGGCGGCGUGCUUCAGGCAUGCAAGUCGAACGGACCUUCGGGUCAGUGGCGGACGGGUGAGUAACACGUAAGCAACCUGCCCAGAAGUGGGGAAUAACCCACCGAAAGGUGAGCUAAUACCGCAUGUGAUGGACCUUCCCUGGAGGGUUCAUUAAAGGCUUAGGUCGCUUCUGGAGGGGCUUGCGCUCGAUUAGCUAGUUGGUGGGGUAAUGGCCUACCAAGGCGACGAUCAGUAGCUGGUUUGAGAGGAUGAUCAGCCACACUGGGACUGAGACACGGCCCAGACUCCUACGGGAGGCAGCAGUAGGGAAUUUUCCACAAUGGGCGAAAGCCUGAUGGAGCAACGCCGCGUGCAGGAUGAAUGCCUUCGGGUUGUAAACUGCUUUUAUAUGUGACGAUUUUGACGGUAGCAUAUGAAUAAGGAUCGGCUAACUCCGUGCCAGCAGCCGCGGUCAUACGGAGGAUCCAAGCGUUAUCCGGAAUUACUGGGCGNUAAAGAGUUGCGUAGGUGGCUUGCUAAGCAGGGUAUGAAAGCGUGUGGCUCAACCAUACAGCUAUAUCCUGAACUGGCAUGGCUAGAGAGCGAGAGAGGUAGAUGGAAUUGCUAGUGUAGGAGUGAAAUCCGUAGAUAUUAGUAGGAACACCGAUGGCGUAGGCAGUCUACUGGCUCGUCUCUGACACUAAGGCACGAAAGCGUGGGGAGCAAACGGGAUUAGAUACCCCCGUAGUCC
Molecule: ribosomal RNA, 760 nt
Filed under: uncultured soil bacterium
Lineage: Bacteria
Description: bacterial SSU rRNA
Rfam family: Bacterial small subunit ribosomal RNA
Source: RNAcentral